AUCAGCUGUGGGGGAGCCAAGCAGGAGGGGAUCGAGUCUGCCUGAUCACCCCCCGGUGGCCUCUCGUUUCUUCAGCCUGCUUCUCAGUGACAGGCUCCACGCCUGGGGGUGGGGACCAGCACCGGGGUCCCUGACCUCAGGGCUCAGGAGGAAGCACAGCAGUUAAGGUUCAGAUCUUGGUUCUGCAUCUUAGCUUUUCUGGGCCUCGAUGACUUUGAACUGUGAAAUGGGAUGACAGUAUUACCGCUUCGUACGUCCUUAUGAGACGGUGUCAUUAGGGAGGUUAGCCCAAAGUCGGGCGCGUAGUAAGAGUUCAGUACAGGUUAGCUUUGAUCAUGUUUAGUUGGAGGACAGGGACAACCAGAUCUCCCCAGAGAUCCGAGAGACCUUCCUGGAGGAGGCGGCAUGGCAGAAGAAUGAGCAGGGGAUACACGGGGAAAGGUGGGAGUGUUGCUGGCCAGAGGAAAAGAAGGUGCAAGAGCGGGUGGGAAGGGAGGAGAGGGAGGCAGGGCUCGGUUUGUCUCCCAGAUUCUGUUCUGAGUCCACUUCCUUGUUGGCAGCAGCCCUGUGGGCACCUGAGAACAGGCCAGCUUCCCUCUGCCCUUGCUCUCACAUCCUGCCUCAGGUUCCCAGGUGGUGGGAGCCACCCGGGUGGGCUGGGGUGGAGGCCGACUCUCAGCCUUUCUUUUGGAAUCUUCCUCUUCCAGCCCCAAAGAAAGCAAGGAGCUGAGCAAGGGGACACAGCCUCCCGGGGAAGGGGGGGGCGGUGCCGCGGCCCAAUCUGGUGCUACAGAUGUUUGCGCAGCACAGUUCUCCACCCUCGGCCCUUGCUGUGGUCGAAGUCUGGGAUGGGGGUGAACCAGCUCUGGUCCCUGCCAGUUGAAAGGGCAGAACUUGCCAGCCCUCCCUGGCGGGAAGGGGUGUUACCAGAAGGUACAAAGUGCCACCGGAAUGAGGAGACUCAACCAGGGAAGGCUUCAUGGCGGAGUGGCCUGGAGCUGAAUGUUGAAGGCAGAGGGAAGGGCAUGGACAAAGGCCUGGAGUGGGAGUCCGGGCUGCUCCCUAGGUGGGUUGUGGGGGCAGGCAGUGGAGUGGCUCACAGCGGGAGGCUGGGUUUGGCUGGGGGAAGAGAAGGAGGGGGCUGGAGCGACCAGGGACAGGGCACCUCUGAGGUUCAGGUGGGCAGUGAGGGCCGUCUCCCCCAGCCCUGUCCUGGGGCAGGUCUGCGAAGCCGUGUGUAACCUGGCACGCGACUGCCGUUUAUUGAGCACUUGCUGUGGGGGGGCCUCUCGCAUUAUGAUGGCCAUUUAACAGAACCAGGCUUUGAGGAAUUAAGCCACUUGCCUGAGGUCGCCCAGCUAGGCCUGGCAACUGUUUGAACCACAUCAGGUCCCUCAGCUACAGGGGUCAUCCCACCCCUGGCGCCUUCCCUCUCCCUGGCUAGGGCCUCGGGGGUCCAGCCUCAGCCUUGCCCUGGCCAGAGGGGGUGGGGUGAGGCGGGAGAGGCAGUCAACCCUGCUGGGCUCAGGCCCCUCUCCCACCAUUCUGAGCAGUGACUUCCACAGCCUCUGGUCUGUGCAGUGGAAGGUGCCCCAGGCCCAGCUGGCUCUGCGCACCCCCACCCUCCCUCAGGGCUGUGACCUGGCUGGGUGAUCGCUGGUCACCGGGGGCCAGGAGGCGCCUCCCAGCCUGAAGACUGGGGCUCAGUAUGGCAGUGAACCCCUGAACUAGAGCUGGGUGGGGAAGAAAGAUGAAAUAUCACAGCCCCACCCUGGAAACCCUUCUCUGAUGGGGUGGUAUCACCCCUUCCACCUCAGGAAGCCCCAGUCUGAUGGGGAGACGGGGCCCCUGCCCUGGGAGUGCCCUGUCUGAUGGAGAACGGGGUUGUGGUGGCUGAAUAAGAUGGGCUUGCAGGCUCGUGCCCCAGCACCUGGCACGUGGGAGGUGCCUGGCAAAUAAACGGUGGCUGUUGGAGCUUAUCCACCACCCAGCACAAGCCUCGGUCUGUGCAGUGGCAGGUCCUCUGGGAAGGUCAUCUCCUCCCUAGAGUGGACGGGCCAGUCUGACGGAAGGGCCAGUCUGACGGGUUCCGUUGCCGGACUGGGCCAUGCGUGCUGGGGUGGGGCCUCUGGGUGGAAGGUAGAUUUCCUUUCUCCCCUGGGCUCACACCUCUUGCUUCUUGCUGCAGGCAAGGGUAGUUAGGUGUGGCCUAACUAUCGAUUGAGAUGCUGUAUAUGAAAAUGCCUGGCCCCCGUGGUCCGCACACCUGGGGAUGGGGGUGGGGGGGGCAGGGACAGCUGGCUGGCAGGCAGGUGGCUUUCUGCAGGAAGCAGAAGGAACUACCCGACCCAGGCCCUCCCAGCCCGGGGUUCCCUUUGGUUAUUCCUCAAACCUGGGACUUUCGAAGCCACAGCUUGGACGACCUGGCCUUCAGUCCCCAAAGCUGAGAAAGCGGAGAAAUCCACAACUCGGCCCUCUCCUCACGCCUUCUCCUGGGGACCUGGCUUUUACCGGAGCCGGAUGGUGGGACCCCAGAGGUCCCUGCUAUACAGCCGGGUGCUGAGUCCCAGGUGUCCGGGCACUAACCGGACCAGGCUAGUGUCAGCCCUAUGACCGGGAGGGGGGUGGCCUUUUGCUUCCGAUUAACUCAAUUCAACUAGUAUCGACUGAUGAGUUCCUCGGCCCUGUGACAGCCCUGAGGACACAGCCACCCACCAGCACAUGUAAUUAAUAAGGACUUCCCCACCCACAGUAGACGGUAUGGGCAGAGACUUCUCUCCUGGUCACCACGGUAUCCCCGGUCACAGAAGGUGCUCAAUACAUGGUGAAUGAAUUGAGUGAGUGAAGUGAAUGCCUGAAACACUGUUCCCCAAGGGAUCCUCAGUCAGUAAAGGAGACAGGCAUGGGACCCCCAAGCACAAAACUAUUGAAUUUGUACACUUUAAAUGGUACAUUGGCAGGCAUGUGAAUCAUCACUCAAUAAAGCUCUUUGAAAAAA
Molecule: RNA transcript, 2998 nt
Organism: Myotis davidii
Lineage: Eukaryota; Metazoa; Chordata; Mammalia; Chiroptera; Vespertilionidae
Exons: 2
Source: RefSeq, a predicted model, not a curated record